This 220-nucleotide non-coding RNA is filed under the name Brugia timori. RNAcentral's name for it is "Eukaryotic small subunit ribosomal RNA". It matches the Rfam family "Eukaryotic small subunit ribosomal RNA", at positions 250 to 476 of the family's 1831-position model. The record is from Rfam by way of RNAcentral. Lineage: Eukaryota; Metazoa; Nematoda; Chromadorea; Rhabditida; Onchocercidae.
CUCUGAAUAGCUAUGGCUGAUCGCAUGGUCUUGUACCGGCGACGUAUCUAUCAAGUGUCUGCCUUAUCAACUUUCGAUGGUAGUUUAUGUGCCUACCCAUGGUUGUAACGGGUAACGGAGAAUAAGGGUUCGACUCCGGAGAGGGAACCUGAGAAAUGGCUACCACAUCCAAGGAAGGCAGCAGGCACCCACUCUUAGAAUGAGGAGGUAGUGACGAAAA